This 253-nucleotide ribosomal RNA is filed under the name uncultured bacterium. RNAcentral describes it as "partial 16S ribosomal RNA". It matches the Rfam family "Bacterial small subunit ribosomal RNA", at positions 524 to 776 of the family's 1533-position model. The record is from RNAcentral.
UACGUAGGGGGCAAGCGUUAUCCGGAUUUACUGGGUGUAUAGGGAGCGUAGACGGCCAGACAAGUCAGAAGUGAAAGCCCAGGGCUCAACCCUGGGACUGCUUUUGAAACUGCCGGGCUGGAGUGCAGGAGAGGUAAGCGGAAUUCCUAGUGUAGCGGUGAAAUGCGUAGAUAUUAGGAGGAACACCAGUGGCGAAGGCGGCUUACUGGACUGUAACUGACGUUGAGGCUCGAAAGCGUGGGGAGCAAACAGG